This 468-nucleotide ribosomal RNA is filed under the name uncultured bacterium. Its description in RNAcentral is "partial 16S ribosomal RNA". It matches the Rfam family "Bacterial small subunit ribosomal RNA", at positions 28 to 507 of the family's 1533-position model. The record is from RNAcentral.
GACGAACGCUGGCGGCGUGCUUAACACAUGCAAGUCGAACGGAAAGGCCCUGCUUUUGUGGGGUGCUCGAGUGGCGAAAGGGUGAGUAACACGUGAGUAACCUGCCCUUGACUUUGGGAUAACUUCAGGAAACUGGGGGUAAUACCGGAUAGGAGCUCCUGCUGCAUGGUGGGGGGUGGAAAGUUUCGGCGGUUGGGGAUGGACUCGCGGCUUAUCAGCUUGUUGGUGGGGUAGUGGCUUACCAAGGCUUUGACGGGUAGCCGGCCUGAGAGGGUGACCGGCCACAUUGGGACUGAGAUACGGCCCAGACUCCUACGGGAGGCAGCAGUGGGGAAUAUUGCACAAUGGGCGGAAGCCUGAUGCAGCAACGCCGCGUGCGGGAUGACGGCCUUCGGGUUGUAAACCGCUUUCGCCUGUGACGAAGCGUGAGUGACGGUAAUGGGUAAAGAAGCACCGGCUAACUACGUG